This is a long non-coding RNA of Hydra vulgaris (swiftwater hydra), 259 nucleotides long. RefSeq lists it as uncharacterized. The record is from RefSeq and is a predicted model, not a curated record. Lineage: Eukaryota; Metazoa; Cnidaria; Hydrozoa; Anthoathecata; Hydridae.
AAGAAUUUUGGUUUGGAUACAAUGGACAAAGUGGAAAUCAUACCGGAAAGACUGUUUACCGCUUGACUGCUGUCCCAAUCUAACUAAGUCGGUUAAAAAAGAAGGGACUGCGCUGGAAACAUGAGUGGAUUAAAAGGAUCAGCCCUUUUUGAAUUAAUAGUCGAAGUGGUAACCAGCUAGAAGUCGUAACCUGCUCGUAUGAAAUUGUUAAUUUUAUUCAACAACGCCAAGAAACAGAGCUCGCUCAAGAAACAGAAAA